GGGACUGUAGCUCAGUUGGUAGAGCAACGGACUGAAAAUCCGUGUGUCGGCGGUUCAAUCCCGCCCGGUCCCA
Molecule: transfer RNA, 73 nt
Filed under: Balneola sp.
Lineage: Bacteria; Pseudomonadati; Balneolota; Balneolia; Balneolales; Balneolaceae
Description: tRNA-Phe
Rfam family: tRNA
About the family: Transfer RNA (tRNA) molecules are approximately 80 nucleotides in length. Their secondary structure includes four short double-helical elements and three loops (D, anti-codon, and T loops). Further hydrogen bonds mediate the characteristic L-shaped molecular structure. tRNAs have two regions of fundamental functional importance: the anti-codon, which is responsible for specific mRNA codon recognition, and the 3' end, to which the tRNAs corresponding amino acid is attached (by aminoacyl-tRNA synthetases). tRNAs cope with the degeneracy of the genetic code in two manners: having more than one tRNA (with a specific anti-codon) for a particular amino acid; and 'wobble' base-pairing, i.e. permitting non-standard base-pairing at the 3rd anti-codon position.
Source: RNAcentral